RNAcentral lists this unclassified non-coding RNA (278 nucleotides) under Hevea brasiliensis (rubber tree). The record is from RNAcentral. Lineage: Eukaryota; Viridiplantae; Streptophyta; Magnoliopsida; Malpighiales; Euphorbiaceae.
AAAAAUAAUUUCUAUUUGGAUCGUCAAGAACCAUAUUGAUUUCUCUCCUUAUGCAUAUCAAUCAGAAAAAAGAGAGGAAAUGGUAGCUUAAUUUGCUUAAUUAUUUCAAUCAGAGACGCUAAAUUUAAUUACAUUUGCUAAGAGAUUCCAACUUCUCAGAAUCCCAGCUAACUAAAAGAUUAUAUCCUAGAAAAUCAGAACACUCUUCUUUUUUUUCUUUUAUCUCUAUUGAUUAAUUUGUAGCUCCUAAAAAUUCAAAUAAUAAUAAUAAUAAUAAU